RNAcentral lists this long non-coding RNA (3843 nucleotides) under Homo sapiens (human). Its description in RNAcentral is "non-protein coding lnc-RD3L-1:2". The record is from RNAcentral. Lineage: Eukaryota; Metazoa; Chordata; Mammalia; Primates; Hominidae.
CCCCGCUUCCCCACGCGGCCCCGCGCACUCCAAGGACCCCAACCUGUUAGGUGAGUCCCUGCCCCGGGGAGGGGCGCUGGGGGCGGCGGCGAGGAUCUAGUUGCGCGCGCGCAUGCGCCUCCCGCCCCUCUCCCGGGACACCAGGGCUGCGCGUCUCCCAGGAGGCGCCGACGCCCCUCCCUCUACAGGCGGGAAAACUGAGGCUGCGGAGGGGACGCUCUUGCCCAAGGCCCACGGCGAGGUGGGCCGAGGAAGGGGCGGGACCCCGGCCCCGAGACUCCCAGGCGCCUUUCCAGCAAGCCCAGCGUACUCUGCGUGUCGCGGGCCACUUUAGGUCUAACUGUCGCGCGUGGGUUAGUGUCGCCGCGGUGUGCGCCUCGAGCCGGGCAGCGACCGCGCCGGCGUAUCUGUGCCUCGGCGCGUCUGCGAACGGCACGUGUCUUUACAGCCGCGCGUGUGCCCGCAAGUGGGUGUGCGCGCCGUGCCGCCCGGGAAGCGGGAGGUCCUGCGGGCGUGCGCCGGACCUGUUGUCAGCAGGCCUGGCAGAUGGGAACUCAGCUCCGGAAUUAAUUGCUUGUUUGUCUCCGGCUGGGAGGCCGCCCCCCCGCCCUUCCCUGGCGACCAGUUGCUCUGUGCCUAGCCGGGCCCCAAAUGUCGCCGGCAUCCGCGGCCGCAGGCAGCUCCGGGCCAGGCUCCGGGUCAGCCCCAAAGCCCGGGUCAAGCCAGGCGGGCGCGGCGGGCGGGCUCCCCGUGACGCGAGUGCCCCCUGCCGGCCGCUGCGCACACGGCUCCGAGACUGGGGAGACAGCGCCGCGCGUCCCAGGCCUGAGGCGCACUCGGAAACUCCGAAGGUCGUGACCCGGCGGAGACCAGGACACGCGGCUGCCGGCACAUACGGUGAGGCCUUCGCAGAGACUCAGUACGUCAAAGUGACCCUUUCCGUUUUGCCCACCCCCUUUUACUUGGAUAAGCCUCCCCGCCCACGCACGCACUCCCCAGAAAGUGGGGUGGGUGAUCCCCUCCCGGCUUUCCGGGUCGUUGAUGACCUUAGGGGUUCGAAAACGCAAGGGGGUAUGGAAUAAAGUGGCAGGGGCUCUCCACUCUUUCUGAGAUCCGUAAGCCUGCAGUCGCUUUCCACCCAGCCUGGGGGGCCGGAAGCGCUUCCCCUACCCGUCUCUUCGCAGCCUGGAGAAUGAAAACGGGCGUCAGCCCACAUCUGGAUCUGGGUACUGAGGACAACACCCAAACCCCACCCCGCACUGCCGGCAGACAGCACCGCCUCCCGCCGCUCCACUGCUCCGGGACACACACUCUCUAUAUCCCGUCCCCCCACCCACACACGCAACACAGAAGCACGCAGCGGUCGGGAGCACCGGUCCUGCGCCCCUGGCCAGCCACACCCGCAACUUCAGCGCUUCUACCGCCGCGGCGCUUCGGGAAGCACAAGCUCACAUCCCAUAUCCGCAGAACACGGGGUGCACAAGGCUGGAGUCACCUCGGGGGCUCACGAUCAGUCAGGGGCCCCGACCCCCUACUUCGCCCAUCCUAGCAAGGCGCAAGAAUCACCAUAAACGCUGGAUUUGCUGACCACAUGGCCGAUCGUGACCACCUGCUCUGUACUCACCCAGGCUUCUGGUCAGGAGAGAGGCGGGGAAGAGCUGCCCCCUCCCUGCGUCCACCAUCACUCCUGGCCUGGGAUCAGGGCAAGUUAUAAAGGGGGCCAGAGUCCCCCCUUUCUCUCUGUCCCUCUCCAGGAGGACACUCUGGGGACCACCCACCCUCCUCCCUCCCCCACAGGAAGGGGACUGGGGAAGACUGUCCUCUUCCCCCAUCCUGUCUCAUCCAAGACCCUGAGCCUGGGGCGGGGAGGGGGGGGCUCCCUUCAGCGGACCAAGGGCUUCUGGGAGGCCACCCGCCAUGUCAGUGGAUUGAUUAAAGUCAUUGUGGGGAUUUUUUUUAACAUUUAAUUUACCAGGCACGCGGCGGCUGGUCAGAGCUGUCCCCAGGGAAAUCUAGACCAAGGGAGCAAAACAGAAAAAAACCUCCUACCAUUCAGCAGGGCCCCUCUGAUGGGAUUAAUUGCCGGAACUCGGCUUCCAUUCAGACCACACGCAGCAAUGUUUCAGGGAGGGAGGAGGACAUGGGGCUUGAGUGCUCAGAUUCCUUCCCUGGGUGCUUGGAGCCCAGGGCCCUCCAUACCGCCAUCUCUCCCCAGCCUGCUGGUGCUGGUCAAGAGCCCCGCCCCCCACCUCUCCGCACCUUCGUGUCUUCAUGUGUGACGAGGUGGACGGUACCCGGAGGCAGACCAGUCCCUCCAGAGCCCACCCCACCCCCAUCCACGUCCCUUCAGUGUGCAGGGCAAGAGCUGGGAGGCACCCCAGACACGCUCCCACGGAAACUGAACACUUGCCAGAGGUGUCUUUAGUAGUGGAAACCGGCUGGGUAGGAAUGGCCAAUCGUCUCUUCAUCCUUGGCGACAGUGGAUGGACGGCAGGUGGACCCGGGACAGGGACGGGCACGCAGUGUGCGGCACAGCCCCGUUGGCCUUUGCAGAGAAGGUUUAUGCUUAUGAAGGCGGGGACCUUUCCUGGGACAGACACAAGCAACAGUAGACAUGGAGUUUCACCGUGUCAGCCAGGAUGGUCUCAAUCUCCUGACCUCGUGAUCCGCCCGCCUUGGCCUCCCAAAGUGCUGGGAUUACAGGCGUGAGCCACCACGCCCGGCCUCGCUCAUUCACUCUUUCAAUUCAGUCAUCCUGGAGUCGUCCUUGACUCCUGCUUGCUCACGGCCCCCGCAGCCCAUCCAUCAGGAUCUCCUGUCCCUACCACCCUAAUGGAAUGUCAGCCCCUGGAGGGGGUUCUGCAAUGCCAUGCCUGCUUCACCACAGCCGCCAGGUGAGCCUUUAAGAAGGCGGUGGGCUCCUUCCACUUCUCGGCCCUGGCUGACUGACCCGUCUCCUCCCGCUCUGCACCCCCUACGCAUUCUGCUCCAGCCCCAAGGGCCUCCUCGCUGUUCCCAAACGUGCAGUCACCCCCAUUUGAGCGUUUGCUCCACUGUUCCCACUGCCAGGGGGCUCUUCCCCCAGACAUCCACAUGCCUGACUUUCUCCAGGUCUUUUCUUUUUUGAAAUAGGGUCUUGCUCUUUCGCCCAGGCUGGAGUGCAGUGGCGCAAUCACAGCUCACUGCAGCCUCGACCUCCCAGACUCAACCGAUCCUCCCACCUCAGCCUCCUGAGUAGCUGGGACCACAGGCACGCACCUCCACUCUGAGAUAACUUAUUGAUUUUUUUGUAGAGACCAGGUUUCACUAUGUUGCCCAGGCUGGUCUCGAACUCCUGGGCUCAAGCAAUCCUCCUGCCUCAGCUUCCCAAAGUGCUGGGGUUAUAGGCGUGAGCCACCAGGCCUUUUCUAAGCAAAGUGUUCCCUGCCCACCUUACCUAAAAUGUCAGGCCCUUCCUGCAUCCUGCAGCUUUGCCCAUGUUUCCUCUCCCUCCUUAGCACUUACCAGGAGCUGACUUAGAUGUUUCUUACUUGUCUAGUUUAUUGUCCUUCAUCCCCUUUAGAAUAUCAGCUCCAUGAGGGCAGGAAAUGUUUGGUUGAGCACCUGGCACAGCACUGAAGCUCAUUCACAUUUGUGGAAGAAAUAAAGGAAUGCAUGAACCCCAGGCUUGUUCUCUGUGCCACCAGGUCCUGCUGCAUUCCCCCUGCAGAGGGGCUCCUGUCCUUCCUAUCCCAGCCUUUCCCGGCCCUGCCAUGCCCCCACCCUAUAUUCUGCUCUGGCCACCUCACUGGCCCCACCCUGGCUCCUCUCACCCCCCACCACACUGCACCUCGAGGCUGCAGU